RNAcentral lists this ribosomal RNA (460 nucleotides) under uncultured bacterium. RNAcentral describes it as "partial 16S ribosomal RNA". It matches the Rfam family "Bacterial small subunit ribosomal RNA", at positions 338 to 795 of the family's 1533-position model. The record is from RNAcentral.
CCUACGGGGUGCUGCAGUGAGGAAUAUUGGUCAAUGGGCGCGAGCCUGAACCAGCCAAGUAGCGUGAAGGAUGACUGCCCUACGGGUUGUAAACUUCUUUUAUAAAGGAAUAAAGUGAGGCACGUGUGCCUUUUUGUAUGUACUUUAUACAUAAGGAUAGGCUAACUACGUGCCAGCAGCCGCGGUAAUACGGAGGAUCCGAGCGUUAGCCGGAUUUAUUGGGUUUAAAGGGAGCGUAGAUGGGUUGUUAAGUCAGUUGUGAAAGUUUGCGGCUCAACCGUAAAAUUGCAAUUGAUACUGGCAGUCUUGAGUACAGGUGAGGUAGGCGGAAUUCGUGGUGUAGCGGUGAAAUGCUUAGAUAUCACGAAGAACUCCGAUUGCGAAGGCAGCUUACUAAACUGCCACUGACAUUGAUGCUCGAAAGUGUGGGUAGCAAACAGGAUUAGAUACCCUUGUAGUC